ACGUUAGCAAGAAACUGAUUAGGUCGGAAGAAUUAGUGUGCUUCCUUGGUGAAUGCAAUGAUGUGUUCCCAAUGUCCAUUUUUCGGGUAAGGCUAACUGCCAAUUCGCUCAAGGAAGAUAGAAAGGCAAGUUAAAUACAGAUGCCUAAAGUUUGCAUGUACGGACGCUAAGCACACAAUAUAUGUAUACAGAAAAAAAGCUACGUUCUAUUGAACUCUUGAUAAAUAUGAAAUAUGAGAUCUACAAUUCAGCAACACUUAUGUAAUGCCAAAAGUCGGUUGCAAGCCUUCAUUAAAUCAGUUGAACUUAAAGUAAAGCAAAGCUUGAAUCAAACCUCACUAGUUCCACAUGCACCUGCCCAAGAAGCGAACUUAGCCAGCAAGUUCAUCCCUAUACCUUAUCAAUUAAGUAGAUUGCACUUAAUGAAAAGCAUCAUUAAAAAAACUGAAAAAAGCCAGCCAGAUAUAGGGCAACUACAAU
This 480-nucleotide long non-coding RNA is filed under the name Androctonus crassicauda. Lineage: Eukaryota; Metazoa; Arthropoda; Arachnida; Scorpiones; Buthidae. The record is from RNAcentral.